AGAGUCCCAGGCAAUCGGGACAGAGAGACUGGCCCAGCAGGGGCUCUCUGGGCCAACUGAGCAAGGUGACAGGGCCCAAGAAAGGAGCUGCUGGCUGCACAAGGGCAGAUGGAGUCAAGGAAUCAGUGUCGUGGGAUCCUGGCUGUCCCCACAGUGUCAUGGCUGGGCCUUCCAAGAACAGAAGCAGGUGAAGUACAGGGAGCUGGCCGCUUCGCAGAGGAAGGACUGAUAACAAAUGGACUCAAUGCAGCACAGACAUGGGACACCGGGGGGCCGAGUGAGCAGAGCAGACCGUGAGUGCCGCACGUGCUCGGGGGUCAACAGGGACCCAAGCGCCCAGAAAAGGCGGAAAGCACACAAAGGGGUCUGAAAAAUGGGACCCUCGGUAGAAAGCUCUGGGAAAACCAUUAUCCAGUCUCUGUGCCCAGAAGCGCUGUCUGCCAGGCUCUGGCCAACUUGUAGCCUCUCCAUGCUGAAAAUGACCCCCUAAAAAAGCCGAAGGAAAAGGACCCCGCACACAGCCGCGAACCACAUAUACACCAAGAGAGCCUAAGGUAAAAAAGAUAAACUUUAAAUCAAGCAGAAACUUUUUCCAGCAACUUCCACUCUUGUGAUACUGAACUGAACUGAAGUGACAGAUUUUAAGAGUUGCCUGAAUCUUUUGGAGUUAACCUGGUUAUUGACUUUAAAAGUCUAAUUGUGAAAUUGACUUUAAAAACUCUAAUUGUGAAAGAAGGGGUCUCUUCUCUCUUUGGAAUGGCGCUCUCACUAACAAUUUUCUUGAUCAGAGGACCCAACAAACAGCAAUAGAAUAGAACAUUAUGGAUUGCUGGGUGAGAGUAUUUUUUAACCUGCUUCAACCUAAAACUGCAAAAUAAACUGGUCCAAUUUAAUUUAAAAAGUUUCAUAAUUUCUGACCACUGAUCUACAUUUCUGAAAGGUUACAGAAAGGUUACACACACGUGAUGUGUGUGUG
This is a long non-coding RNA of Saimiri boliviensis boliviensis (Bolivian squirrel monkey), 976 nucleotides long. RefSeq lists it as uncharacterized. The record is from RefSeq and is a predicted model, not a curated record. Lineage: Eukaryota; Metazoa; Chordata; Mammalia; Primates; Cebidae.